AGCCGAAGCCCGAGGCUUAACCGACUGAGCCACCCAGGUGCCCCUAUGUGCUUUUCUUUUUAAACUCAGGAGGAAAAGAUAUCCUUAACUCUCCCUUGAAGUUCUUUAGAAAGAAUUACUACAAUAGUUUCAAGUAUUAAAAAUAUUUUAGACAAAUACAUCUCAAAUGUUUAACAUAAAUUCAGCAAACCACAAAAUUCACUGGAUCUGGAUAUUUGACGAAUUUUCUGUUACCGCUUCCUCUCUUUCUCUGCAAGCUCCUCACAGCCUGUGAAGCUCGAUGACAUUCAGUGCGUUCUCUUUCUCCCCAAACUUCCUAGCGCUCUGAAUGACGCACCUUCACUCUGUUUGAGAAUGUUUGGAAAUUUUCCAGUCAGAAAGACAGAAGAGUGUCAUAAAACAAAGGAUUGAGAGUAUUUUUAAGUCUCUGACUUCCUCAAAUAAAAACGUCUCUCCACGAAAUCCAAAAGUGCAUGACAGUUCACACAAAGGGCUCCUGACACUGCCUCCUUAGCAACUCGUGUGAGUUGGUGACGUUUUUGCCCAUGUGUGCCCAGCCCCGCCAUGCCCCCGACUCUGAGAGCUGCCCUGAAGGCAGUGAGUACAUGACAAGCCCCUGCUCUCCUGCACCUUACAUUCCAGUGGGGUGAUGUCCACAGACAAACCAACCAGGAAGUUACAGAUUUCUGUUGGGAGUUCUGAAGGAAAUAAGCAAGCUCUCCGGCUGAAAACACUGGCAGAUCUAGGUGGUCAGGGAAGGUUCCUCCGAGAAAAUGGCUCGAAGGUAUUCGUUUCCUGGGGUUGCCCUAACAAAGUACCACAAACUGGGCAACUUAAAUAACAGCACUGUAUUGUCAUACAGUUAUGGAAGCUGGUAGUCCAAGAUCCAGGUGUCACAGGGUCGGUUCCUUGUGAGGCCGAGGGAGGGACUUGCUUGAUGCCUCCUGGCUUCUGGUGCUUUGCCAGGAACCUUGGACAUUCUUUGUCUUGCAAAUGAUCUCUGAUCUCUGCUUUCUUCUUCACAAGGCGUCCUCUGGGGGAUGCACCUGCACCCAAAUUUCUCCCUUUUAUCAAGACACCAGUCACUGGAUUAGGGGCCCAGCCCACUCCAGUAUGAUCUCAUCUUAACCAAUUAACAUCUGCAUAGACCUGUUUCUGCAUAAGGUUGCAUUCUGAGGCACUGAAGGUUAUGACUUCCACAUGAAUGGAGUGGGGACACAAUUCAACACAUAACAGAGGAAAGAGUGGGGGACUAAAGCCCUAAGAAGCAAAAGGGUCUGGCAUAUUCCUGGGACUGAAGAAUGUGGGACUUCAGAGCUGUGAAUGAGGGAAGGAAAGCCCAGGCCAAGGGCAAGAUAACUGGAGAUAAGAAAGGAAAUACAGCCAACCAAGAAUGGAAAACCGUUCAGACUGAAGGAGAGAAAGAAAUACGUAUGCCAAAUGGCAGGAGGUGGCUGUGAGCGCUGAUGGAGCAGAACCAGCCACGUGAGCGGCAACCACGUUCUGUUUUCCAAGGAGAUUGUCAGAGAGCAUUGGACUGCGUAGGUCUAGGCCAGCCCGCCCUCUGCAGGGCUGCGCUCCGCAAUCUGGAAGAGCCGAGGAGGAAAGAGGCCUGGUUCCCUAUCUCAGGGCCUGUGAGUCUACACUGGGAGACAGGACCCACAACGAAAUGGUUAUUUCAAGACAGAAACGGAAAGAUCAAGAGAGUGGGAGAAAGUGGAAUGGCACAUGAAGAAUAGUUUUUGCUUUAUUUUUCUCUCUACAUGCCUACAGUCAGUGUGAAUGGAUGUGCCUCACCUGUUGCACCUGGGAUUCUAAGACGUUGGGGCAGAGACUGUGUGUCCCAUCUUCCAGACCAGAGGGAACAAAGGCGGCUUCAGAGACCCCUCUAGUCCUGUGUCAGCCACAUCUCCGUCCCACUACACCAGCAAAGCCAGUGCACAGCCCGGAAUGCUUGGCGGAAUUUGUGGACGUGGAAAUGCAAAGGCGGAUGUUUCUAUCAUGACAGCCCGCCGGCGCGCAGGAGACAGCAGCCCCUGGAUGAAAGAUUCCUAAGGAUCAAAGGAGAAAACAUUUGUAAAACUGUUUUGCCAACUAAAUCUUACAGAAUAGAAAGUAUUUCUCUGAAUACCAUGAACCAAGAACACCGCCUUCUGGGUUAAUAAAUCCCACUGUGACAACUCUCACAA
Long non-coding RNA from Suricata suricatta (meerkat), 2189 nucleotides. RefSeq lists it as uncharacterized. NCBI's taxonomy places the organism in Eukaryota, Metazoa, Chordata, Mammalia, Carnivora, Herpestidae. The record is from RefSeq and is a predicted model, not a curated record. The transcript has 7 exons.